This 74-nucleotide transfer RNA is filed under the name Acavomonas peruviana. RNAcentral describes it as "tRNA-Leu". It matches the Rfam family "tRNA". From Rfam's summary of the family: Transfer RNA (tRNA) molecules are approximately 80 nucleotides in length. Their secondary structure includes four short double-helical elements and three loops (D, anti-codon, and T loops). Lineage: Eukaryota; Colponemida; Acavomonidia. The record is from RNAcentral.
AUUCAAGUGACGUAAUUGGUAAACGUAUUAGUUUUAGGCACUAAGUUUUGAGGGUUCAAGUCCCUCCUUGAAUA